Molecule: ribosomal RNA, 373 nt
Filed under: uncultured soil bacterium
Lineage: Bacteria
Description: bacterial SSU rRNA
Rfam family: Bacterial small subunit ribosomal RNA
Source: RNAcentral
GGAUUGAACGCUGGCGGCAUGCUUUACACAUGCAAGUCGAGCGGCAGCGCGGGGGCAACCCUGGCGGCGAGCGGCGAACGGGUGAGGAAUACAUCGGAACGUACCCCGGAGUGGGGGAUAACGCCGCGAAAGCGGCGCUAAUACCGCAUAUGCUCUGAGGAGGAAAGUGGGGGACUCCCGAAGGGCCUCACGCUCUGGGAGCGGCCGAUGUCCGGAUUAGCUAGUUGGUGAGGUAAUGGCUCACCAAGGCGACGAUCGGUAGCUGGUCUGGAGAGGAUGAUCAGCCACACGUGGGACUGAGACACCGGCCCAGACUCCGACGGGAGCAGCAGGUGGGUAAUUUUGGACAAGUGGGGGACCAACCGUGGACUCC